AACGAACGCUGGCGGCAUGCCUAACACAUGCAAGUCGAACGAAGCCUUCGGGCUUAGUGGCGCACGGGUGCGUAACGCGUGGGAAUCUGCCCUUGGGUUCGGAAUAACAGUUAGAAAUGACUGCUAAUACCGAAUGAUGUCUUCGGACCAAAGAUUUAUCGCCCAAGGAUGAGCCCGCGUCGGAUUAGCUAGUUGGUGAGGUAAAGGCUCACCAAGGCGACGAUCCGUAGCUGGUCUGAGAGGAUGAUCAGCCACACUGGGACUGAGACACGGCCCAGACUCCUACGGGAGGCAGCAGUGGGGAAUUUUGCGCAAUGGACGAAAGUCUGACGCAGCAACGCCGCGUGGGUGAUGAAGGUCUUCGGAUUGUAAAACCCUGUCGUCGAGGACGAAGGUGGGGUCGUUAAUAGCGAUCUUGCUUGACGGUACUCGGAGAGGAAGCCCCGGCUAACUCUGUGCCAGCAGCCGCGGUAAU
RNAcentral lists this ribosomal RNA (475 nucleotides) under uncultured bacterium. RNAcentral's name for it is "bacterial SSU rRNA". It matches the Rfam family "Bacterial small subunit ribosomal RNA", at positions 29 to 524 of the family's 1533-position model. The record is from RNAcentral.